This is a small nucleolar RNA of Populus nigra (black poplar), 107 nucleotides long. The record is from RefSeq and is a predicted model, not a curated record. Lineage: Eukaryota; Viridiplantae; Streptophyta; Magnoliopsida; Malpighiales; Salicaceae.
AGUUCAUGAUGUGGACAUUUUUUUAAUAAAUCUUUACAUCUCUCUCAUGCCUCAUGAAAAGAUUCAUUCUCAAAUAGAGUACAUAUGGUAAUAUAAUUCCUUAACUU